Molecule: long non-coding RNA, 572 nt
Organism: Gigantopelta aegis
Lineage: Eukaryota; Metazoa; Mollusca; Gastropoda; Neomphalida; Peltospiridae
Exons: 3
Source: RefSeq, a predicted model, not a curated record
CUGUUGGGAAACCGGAUGAGGAGAAUAUCCAGCUAAUUCAUGUUUUACCUGUAACUUCUACCUGACUAUGUCAUGGACAUCUUUGUUUUCACUUUGCUUUAACCAUAUCGCGCGUGUGAUUGAGAAAAAGGUGAUUUAAAAAUGUGUUCCGUGGCUCUGCUGGUUGUUGCAUUAGCUAUUGUGUUCUUCCUGCUGUUAGCGAUGGGUUGCCCUGUUAUCCGAGGUGAAGGUCGAUGUCCGAAGCCCGAAUUUUAUUAUACAGGUGCCGGCAUAAACACGGGCGGACAACUCCCGCAGUGUCCAAUGCCUCAACCAAGACAACCUUCGCCAGUAGACACAAAAAUAGAAAUAAAAGAUCUUUAACCGGGAAGACGCACUGUUACAACUAUAAAGGGAAGCAACUGGGACACGUCUCUUUGCCCGCUGGUUGUUGCUUGGAUACAUCCACUUCUGUUUGUAGCAAAUUACUACUAUAACUCUAGUAGAAUUACAUUUAUAGCCAUUCGCCGCCACAUAUUUUUGUACGAUGCUUAUUUUCAAAUAAAUAAAUAAAUAAAUAAAUCUCACAAUAA